UACGGAAGAUGCGAGCGUUAUCCGGAUUUAUUGGGUUUAAAGGGAGCGUAGGCGGGCUUUUAAGUCAGCGGUCAAAUGCCACGGCUCAACCGUGGCCAGCCGUUGAAACUGCAAGCCUUGAGUCUGCACAGGGCACAUGGAAUUCGUGGUGUAGCGGUGAAAUGCUUAGAUAUCACGAAGAACUCCGAUCGCGAAGGCAUUGUGCCGGGGCAUAACUGACGCUGAGGCUCGAAAGUGCGGGUAUCAAACAGG
RNAcentral lists this ribosomal RNA (252 nucleotides) under Paraprevotella clara YIT 11840. RNAcentral's name for it is "partial 16S ribosomal RNA". It matches the Rfam family "Bacterial small subunit ribosomal RNA", at positions 524 to 776 of the family's 1533-position model. The record is from RNAcentral. Lineage: Bacteria; Pseudomonadati; Bacteroidota; Bacteroidia; Bacteroidales; Prevotellaceae.